GCUCUCGUUCGUCCUUCCACUCUCGCUACUAUAGCUCUCGCUCAUACCGAAUAUUGAAAUCUUCACAGUAUUGAAAGCUCUCGCUCAUACCUCCACUCUCGCUCAUACCGGAUAUUGAAAUCCUCACAGUAUUGAAAGCUCUCGCUCAUACCUCCACUCUUGCUCUCGCACAUAAAUUCCCCUCUCGUUUGACUUGUAUAAGAGUCAAACGAGAUAUCUAUCUACUGAUGCUCGUAAACUGGAUGAAAUAUCUAUCCCAUUCGGCUUCCAUCUAUCGUUAAAUCUUUGUCUUCAACUCAAAAACAUUGCGUCAAACAUGUCAGUUUAAAUCACCAAGAUGUACUGCAUUUGGUAUUGUGAUUUAUCCUUCUAGGAACUCAAGCACAAUGAAAUGUUGGAAGCGGGAGCUUAUCCUACAAACUAUAUGCUCGGAAUCGUGUUGAAUGCUUGUUGUUCCUUGCAAUCUACCGAAUUCGGGAAGCAGGUGUUUGGAAGGGGUGGGGAGGAUAUGGAUUUCUUGUAACAACAAGGAAUUCACAUAAAAAUUGUUCCUGGAAACAUUAUUUGAUCCAUAUGCUUUGGGUUGUGGGCAUCUCUUCUACAAAUCAUGUGUUUGUUUAGCUGCUUCAGUGAUGAUUUGUGAUGGACCGAAGGCUGCCAGCCAGGAGUCUCAAUGUCUGGUUUGUAGAGAGG
Molecule: long non-coding RNA, 693 nt
Organism: Benincasa hispida (wax gourd)
Lineage: Eukaryota; Viridiplantae; Streptophyta; Magnoliopsida; Cucurbitales; Cucurbitaceae
Source: RefSeq, a predicted model, not a curated record